AUAUAUAUAAAGCAAAAGAAAAGAAAUGAAAAGAAAGAAACAGAAUACAAAUUGAAACGAAACAGGGGAGAAAGAAAGAAAGAAAAAGUAAAGAAGAAAAUUAGAGUUUUUAAGGUUCAAAAUCAAAUUGGUAAGUCAAAUUAAGUCCUUUUCUUUAAAUUUUUGAGUUUUUAUGAUUCUAGAUCAAAAUACUAGUAGGUAUAUGUUGAAAUUUUGAAAGUUAGUAGAAUUUUUUUGUAGCUUAUAUUGAAUUAGUGAUUGAAUUGAUGGAAAUCCAAACUAGGAUUGGGAAAAAUAUUAAAUUGAGAAAUAAGUUAUAAGUUUAAUGUAAAAUUGUAAGAAAUUUGAAAUUAAGGUUUAUUAGUGAAAAUUCGAGAGUUAAGUCAAGUUGUAAGUAGAAUUUAAGUAAAAAUAAGGUACAGAUUGUGAUAGAAAUAGAAAUAAUUUUAGUUAUGAAUUAAAUUGAAAUAUUAGCUAAGUUAAGAAAUUAUGAAAUUAUUAUAUCAUAUAUGUUUAUUUUUCUUAAAUAAUAUAGGAAAUUUAUUUGAUUGUUUUUCUAAUAUAUGUAUGUGUUAUGUGUUUUAUAUGAAAUUGAAGAGAAAGAAAAGAAAGGAAAGUAUCUAAUUGAAGAAAAAGGAAAAGAGAAGGCUAAGGAGUGAAGGAAAACAUCAUCUCAACCUUUUUGUUGUAAGUACUACAAGAUUAUUAUUAUUUUUUUAACUAUUUUAUUUAAAUGCCUACAUUAUAGUAUAUAUUUAUUUAAAAAUAAAAUAAAAAUAAAGUAAAAUAAAAUAUUAUGGAACCAUGAAAUUUGUAAAGAAAAUUAUAGAUGGAAAGUAUAUGGUGGUAUAUUGAUUGAACAUUAAGUAAAGGUUGUGACAGAAAAAUAUAUGUGCGUGAAAACGUGCGAUAUAUGUGUAUUGUGGAAUAAGUAGUAAAUUGUAAUGAUGAAGAAAUGAUAAGUCCUUUUUGAAAUAAUUGUAUAAAGUAUUUAAAUGAAUGAGAUUCAGUUUUAAUGCCCAAGUAGAUGGAAUUUAGAACUACCAGGAUAUUAGUGGCAUGCCAUUAAGGAACUUAUUAAGGAACUUUAGCGCGCUCUCUGAUUAUUAGCACGUUGGUGCUCUCUGAUUAUUAGCACGUUGGUGCUCUCUGAUAUUUAGCACGUCAGUGCUCUCUAUUCAGCACAUUUGUGCUCUCUGUAUUUGUUCCGUAUAUCCGGGGUGUUCUGUAAAAUCUACUUUGGGCUAAGAUUAUAAGCUGUGGACAAAAGUGAAUCAUUAAUGUGUUAAGGUAAGUCUUAUAAAGUUUAUAUGUACGGAAAUACGUAUUAACAGAAUGAAUUUGAAAUAUUUUAUUUAAAAUUUAUUUAUCUAUUUAUUCUUGUAGUGCUUACUAAGCCUUCACCGGCUUAACGCGUUUAAUUUUAACGCGUAGGUACAAUUUGACUCGAAGAGAUAAAGUCAGGAUAGAAGAUCUCUCAUCUCAUCACAUCCUCAAGAGCUUCGGAAGUAGGUACCAUAUUUUGACUUAAAAUGGCAUGUACAUAGACAGUCAGUUAUGCUUCCAUGUGUUAAGAACUAAAAUGUAAACUCUUGGACUUCUAUCUAUUUUUAAGUACUUUACGUAUUUUGGUAUAUAUAUAAAAUGAAUUAGUUAAAACUAUAUGUAUGUUUG
This 1674-nucleotide long non-coding RNA is filed under the name Gossypium barbadense (sea-island cotton). Its description in RNAcentral is "long non-coding RNA (GBAR_LNC022061)". Lineage: Eukaryota; Viridiplantae; Streptophyta; Magnoliopsida; Malvales; Malvaceae. The record is from RNAcentral.